GCCGGGCGUUGUGGCGGGCGCCUGUGGUCCCAGCUACUUGGGAGGCGGAGGCAGGAGACUCGCUUGAGCCCAGGAGUUGGAGGUUGCUGUGAGCUGUAAUGCCAUGGCACUCUGCCCAGGGGGACAGCUUGAGGCUCUGUCUCAAAAAAAAAAAAAAAAAAAAAAAAAACAAAAUUAGAUACUUUAUUUUUUUGAGACAGGGUCUUGCUCUGUCAUCCAUGAGGGCAGGCAGUGAUGUCAUCAUAGCUCACUGCAGCCUCAAACUCCUGGGCUCAAGCCAUCCUCCUGC
This 289-nucleotide small RNA is filed under the name Otolemur garnettii (small-eared galago). Its description in RNAcentral is "Metazoan signal recognition particle RNA (ENSOGAG00000027092.1)". The record is from RNAcentral. Lineage: Eukaryota; Metazoa; Chordata; Mammalia; Primates; Galagidae.